RNAcentral lists this transfer RNA (76 nucleotides) under Dehalococcoidia bacterium. RNAcentral describes it as "tRNA-Ile". It matches the Rfam family "tRNA". From Rfam's summary of the family: Transfer RNA (tRNA) molecules are approximately 80 nucleotides in length. Their secondary structure includes four short double-helical elements and three loops (D, anti-codon, and T loops). Further hydrogen bonds mediate the characteristic L-shaped molecular structure. tRNAs have two regions of fundamental functional importance: the anti-codon, which is responsible for specific mRNA codon recognition, and the 3' end, to which the tRNAs corresponding amino acid is attached (by aminoacyl-tRNA synthetases). tRNAs cope with the degeneracy of the genetic code in two manners: having more than one tRNA (with a specific anti-codon) for a particular amino acid; and 'wobble' base-pairing, i.e. permitting non-standard base-pairing at the 3rd anti-codon position. The record is from RNAcentral. Lineage: Bacteria; Bacillati; Chloroflexota; Dehalococcoidia.
GGGCUCGUAGCUCAGCGGUUAGAGCGGCCGGCUCAUAACCGGUUGGUCGCAGGUUCGAUCCCUGCCGGGCCCACCA